UACUAUUUAUUAGUGGCUUCUCCCCAUCUCUCUCUCUUUCUCUCCCUCCUCCUUGGCUUUGUUUUAGUCUUUGCUCCCCUUGGCCCAAAUUUUGGAGGCAUUAAUAAACUUUUGUUAAUAUCACCCAACAUCGUUCGAAAGCCCACUACGGCCUCAAACACCGCGGGACGGAAAGGUGGAGGAAGGAAUGCAAAUUGGGCGAUGGUGGAACGGGAAUGAAUCAUGUUGGGUUGUGGAUUUUUCUUAUUUUUGUUUUUCGUUUUAUUCUUUUUUGAGGUGUUGAAUUCGGUUUGGUGAAAUCGGAGCCUUGAUUUGGAGCUUUUAUCCCAGACGCGUCAUGUGAUGAAACAAAGACAUUGUGAUGUCAAGCUUGUUCUCGAAGACAUUGACGACAGAGUGGUACAUUGUGCUCCCGGAAUCAGAGUCUUUUGAAACCUAGUGAUCUGUGUGUGUCUGGGUGGUUGCAACGUUGAUCUAAUCCUGUUUCGGUAUCCUUGCCUAUGAAGCGUAGUUAGGUUGGAUGAGGGAUGCCGAUCUCCUGUGGAAAUUUGACCUCCAUUGUUUGCUUUAGGUUUUGUGGACAUGUGCAUGUAAUUUAGCUAUUUUUUGAGAAGCGUCUGAAGUGAUUACAGGCUUUCAAUUGAAAAGAUAGAGUUAUGCUCAUCUGCGCAGCUGAGAUGGGUUUCAACGUGGUAGUGCCUAUUAGAUUUUUCUCAAAAAGACGCAACUUCGCUCCGUACUUCUCAUUCUUGAUCAGUCGAUGUCACAUUUAACAGGGAUCGUGUAUUGUCUGAAACACAACGUUUUCAUCCGAUUCAAAUUCGUGCUCCGAUUUCAGUCAAGGUUGCAGUAUGUGAUUGUGUCGUGGAAUUUUGAAUUGUGGGUUGUAGUCUGGUCUCUGCUGAAUAUGGGCGAUUGUUUGUGUAGCUUGCAUUUUUUUUCUAAUGAUCCAAGACCUGAAACUCUCAUGACUUGAUACUUGGGAAAUCCAAACUCGUUAGGAAAGAGUUAGCUUGAGAAAGUUAGUCAUUCUAUUAAUCUUUUACCAAUAGGUUUAGAAUAAGUGGGUUCGUGCACAUAGACUCCUCUGUGCAAUAUUACCGUGUCGGACGGGUGCCAAAACUGAUGAAGCUUAAGCACCUGGUCCUUCAGUCUCUGAUUUAUCUUGUUCAAGGAAAAAAUGCAAAGUAGAUUUACACGAUUAGUUUCACAGGAACGCAAUCACGAUACCGAAAAGGACGAACGAGCUACUAGAAUACUCCGAUAAAUGUGAAUGAAUGAAUCACAACAAUCUUACUGUUUAUGUGAAUGUACACACACAAUAGGACAUGCCCUUCGACUUAAAGAGAUUGUCUGAGUUUUAUACCAAGUUUCAAGGUUCGUUUCCAUCUUGAAGCCGUCGUCUCGGGAAGUCUUAUUGUGGUAUCCCUUACUUGUAGGUAUCAAUUGAUCUCAGCUUGUACUUGCUUCUUUGAUGUGCUUCCUUCUAGGUCUGUUUCACAUGUACCAAUUCACUGCUGAAACCUAAACCUUGUUUUCUGAAUGGCUGCAGUGGAAAUGCCAGAGGACUUGCCGAAGGAGGUGGUGCCACCGUCAAAAAAAGGAAGAGGGCUGAGACAAUGAGUUCCCGAAUUAGUUCGAUACUUCUUUUUCUUUUUUGAAGUGUACUCUCCUCCUCUUGGUGGGUGAGAACACUAAUUAGGUGUCAUUACGUUGCACAUAAACAAUUAAUUUCGACCCGUUGUGUGUCUGAUUUCGACAUGUAUUCUGCUGCAUCUCAUUUCUGCCCCCGCGUGAUUUGGAAAUGCCCAUUCAACACAGCCUGAUAUUCGGAUCCUGGAAAGUUUUGAUUCAAAGUUUCAUUUCCUUGGUAUCCGACUUGGCACAGCAUGGCAACAACGUGCAUGAUUCUAGUCAAAAUCUGUUGAAUUUCGCAUGCAGUCCACUGCUACACAAAACAUAUAAACGAACUAACAAUCAAAAACAGAAAUGCUAUAAUGUUGAAGGAAUCCCAUCGUCACACCUAAUAGACAGGAAGUUCGGCCACUGAAGUGA
This 2055-nucleotide long non-coding RNA is filed under the name Physcomitrium patens. RNAcentral's name for it is "long non-coding RNA (PPAT_LNC006357)". The record is from RNAcentral. Lineage: Eukaryota; Viridiplantae; Streptophyta; Bryopsida; Funariales; Funariaceae.